UUUUUCCACAUGCAGCAUUUAGAUGCAUCCCUCACCCUUCCAUUCAUGGUCUACCACACCACCCUUUCCUUCCCAUUUCUCCUAACACACAUGGCAAGACACCCUCACUCCAGGCCCUCCUUCCUCAGCCUUAAAUUGCUAGUCCUGGCUCCCAGCUGGCCUUCCAGCUGCAUUUCUAUGUAAUCUGUGGAGGCCCCAGCUGUUUUCCGAUGGUUCAUUCUGAAUGGUUUUCAGUGACCCACCUCGUGUAAUUUCUGGUGUAACCCGACAUCUCCUACACCUUUGGCUCUUCACCAUCUACCUUCUGUUUCAGCAGAACAUCUUGGUUGAACAUCCACUCACAUGGCAUGGAACUCUAUCCUCUGGAGCUUUCCGAUGGCUGUCUACCUGGAACGGCUUUUCUCCUUCCUUGGCCCUAGAACACACUAACUGCCCUUCAGACCCAGCUUGAGUUCCACCUCCUCUGGGAAGCCUCCCUAAAUUUUCUCUCCCCCUGAGUUCUUAACACUAUUCUCAUACCGAGUCUCAUUUGCUUCACCUUGGAAACAAAAGUCCUUUGGGGAUUCUUCAGUGGCCCCAAUGGCACCUAGGAACUUGUCACGGGUCCCCUGAUUGUUCAACACAUAUUUGUGGUGUUGCAAACUCAAAAGAAAAGGAAGUGAUAGACUGAUCUCGUAUUUGAAAUAUUUGGGGAGAAGGUCCCCAGCGUGUCCUUCAGAGUCACUUCGUUUCUCCUCAACUAAAGGAGAAUUCCCUCAGGAAACCAGCCUGCUCAGAGGACUAUGUUCCCCUCUUUCAGUUGCAACAUUGGUGCAAUGAAAGUAGAGACAGAACUUCGUGGUGGCUCUGAAAACAUUAACUAAGACAAUAAUAAAUUAACACAAUAGUCGACUAAUAGCACCGUGAUGCUUUCAUGUAUGAAUUGGAAUGUGAACACUGAGAUUUUCAUUUCAUGGUUGAAAAAUACACGAGUUGACCCAAAUACUAAUGUCUGCCUUUCCGUCAUUUACAUAUCAUGGGUCAGUAAUCAUUUCUUGCCUAAAUGGCUUUCCAAAUGAAAAGCUGUAAUAUUGUAAUGGUUUAUCAUAUUUACAAACAUCGCAUUGUGCUACCCACUUGGUGCUUUGGAUUCGCAAACAAGCAGAUCCCAUUCUCUGAGAAGGCAGGGGCAGUGCCUGAGAGGAGUGAACAGAGGUCCCCGAGGAGAGAUCCAUUUGUUUUUUUCCUCCCUGACCUGCACUAGUCCGAGAUCCUCUCCUCUGCUGGGACCUCCUCCAGCCACCUCAUUUCUCCUUCGGGCCAUUGGGUCACCAGGGGCCAGGGAAGGCUUCUGCCUAUGUUUCGAUGAGAAGGCAAGACAUCUAGCGGCUUUGCAAACAUCUCUUUGGGACGUGGGGACUACUGAGAGCUGAGUGUGAUAUUUGGGAAAGGUAAUGCAACCUGAUUUUUAUUGAAGUUUGGAACAACAUCACGUGAACAAUGUAAGGUGGCUUCCCCCCUCAUUUUAAUCCCAGGGUAAUCCAAAUCAGCACAUGACUUAACCUACACCCCAUCCUUGUUCCUGGACUUCUUCACAGUGUCCUGAGUUACCUGCUCCAUUGGGUGUCUUGCUGUUGUUGUCAUUGGGCGCCGUGUCUCUUAGAAAUCUGUGUUUUUAAGAGAUAAUAGAGUUAGAGCCAUAGAUUAAAUGAGGAGCUGGAAUAGCGAUUACACCCUGGCCCAGCAGGCUUGGUGUACACAUCGGCCUUGCUCUUUAAUUAUAACUUGGGGUGGAAUGUCCGCAGCGAGCGUUUGUGGGGACAGUCCCCCCCCCAAUCUUCGUUCACACACACGCACACACUCAGCUCAAAGUGUUCCCUAGCCAACACCUCCUUCACCGGGCUUCUGUUGCUCCUACUUUGGCAGACACUUAAAAGGAAACUAAGGGAAAAAACGCUGAGGUCAUUUAUUAGACUCUCCUGUGAAUUUGGUUUCAGGACUAGAAAGCCGUGCAGUAGUUGUGUGAUUUAUGAAAUCCCUCCCGCUGCUGCUUUUCCUUAUUUUUAGGGUGAUGUACAAGAAGUGAGGUAGCUAAGAGUUGACUGGUCGCAUUUCACACCAUCGCCUGUGAGUCCUGGGACGGAAGGGCAUAAAAACGAUAAUGUGGACAGAGACGUCGUGGGGAGGGAUUUAGCUGUUAAUCGAAAUUUCUCCUUCAGACCCUCUGGGAAAAAAAGGCUACCUUUCGAAGGAUGAAUCUCUUUGUUUUCUAUUUGGCCCCCAUGUUUUAAAAAGGUUAAGGUUGUGUGUGCACAUGUGCGCACACUUGUGUGUGUCUGUGUGUGUGUGUUUGUGUGUGUCUGUGUCUGUGUGUGUGUAAGAGAGGAACAGGCCGAAAAGGAGGGAGUGGAAAAUAAUUGUUAUCAUCCCAAAGACCUUCUUUUCUAGCUGGCUGCAGCUCUGUUUAUGAAAUGCCAUAACAAAAGUGAGCUCACGCCUGUGUGCCUCUAUGGCGCAAGGUUCCUGGGUGCCAGAUGGGCACUCUGUGACUGUAUGAGCGUGGAUUAUUUCAUUUCCUACAUCUGGGACUCCGAGCGGCUGCCCAGAACGCCACAGGAGAGAGGCACUGCUUCUCAGCUGGGGGCACCUACCUUCACUGGGGAUCCCAGAGCAACCGAGGGGACGAGGCUGGCAGUUCCCAAGUGAAAUGUAAAAGUUCACACACACCAGGGCCAUGGGGAAACUUUUAGAACCCAGAUCAAGAUAGAAAUAAACAAUAACCAUCAGCUGCAGUUAAAAAAAAAAAAAA
Molecule: long non-coding RNA, 2788 nt
Filed under: Canis lupus familiaris (dog)
Lineage: Eukaryota; Metazoa; Chordata; Mammalia; Carnivora; Canidae
Description: lncRNA (ENSCAFG00000058108.1)
Source: RNAcentral